This 439-nucleotide long non-coding RNA is filed under the name Dasypus novemcinctus (nine-banded armadillo). RNAcentral's name for it is "lncRNA (ENSDNOG00000050473.1)". Lineage: Eukaryota; Metazoa; Chordata; Mammalia; Cingulata; Dasypodidae. The record is from RNAcentral.
UUGAACUAAAGUUGAUCAAUUAAAUGUUCUUGUGUUUCCCAUAUCACCAGACAGAGGUUCUCCGAACACUGGACACCAAAGAAGAAUCAGAAAGACUGGGGAAUUCUCUUUUCAGAGGCUGGAGGAGGGCUGUCUCAGGACGAGCUAUCCCUGCUGAAGCAAAGAGUGUCUAGCUUAUGGGCCAUGUUAUUCUCCCACCUGACACCUACAGAACAGCCCAUUGAUCCUGACCUGAAGAUCUAUUUGUAUUCAACCGAGAUGAUUUCAAAGAAGAAUACCGACAAUCCAUUAGAAACACAAACUCAGCUGUUAUCCCCAAUUAAAGAGUGGAUUGCUCAGUAAAGACUGUUCAGUAAAAGUGGAAGAGUACUUUUUCCCUAACUUUUAUAGCAAUGUAAGUCCUGCAUACAUAUUGAAAGAGUAAAUAUUUUUUAUUCUA